This 548-nucleotide ribosomal RNA is filed under the name uncultured Glomeromycotina. RNAcentral's name for it is "SSU rRNA". It matches the Rfam family "Eukaryotic small subunit ribosomal RNA", at positions 548 to 1097 of the family's 1831-position model. Lineage: Eukaryota; Fungi; Glomeromycota. The record is from RNAcentral.
UUGGAGGGCAAGUCUGGUGCCAGCAGCCGCGGUAAUUCCAGCUCCAAUAGCGUAUAUUAAAGUUGUUGCAGUUAAAAAGCUCGUAGUUGAAUUUCGGGGUCAGUAGAUUGGUCGUGCCACUGGUAUGUACUGGUCUCACUGGCUCCUCCUUCCUGAUGAACCGUAAUGCCAUUAAUUUGGUGUUGCGGGGAGACUGGACUGUUAUUUUGAAAAAAUUAGAGUGUUUAAAGCAGGCUAACGCUUGAAUACAUUAGCAUGGAAUAAUGAAAUAGGACGUUCGAUCUUAUUUUGUUGGUUUCUAAGAUUGACGUAAUGAUUAAUAGGGAUAGUUGGGGGCAUUAGUAUUCAAUUGUCAGAGGUGAAAUUCUUGGAUUUAUUGAAGACUAACUACUGCGAAAGCAUUUGCCAAGGAUGUUUUCAUUAAUCAAGAACGAAAGUUAGGGGAUCGAAGACGAUCAGAUACCGUCGUAGUCUUAACCAUAAACUAUGCCGACUAGGGAUCGGAUGAUGUUAAUUUUUUAAUGACUCAUUCGGCGCCUUACGGGAAA